RNAcentral lists this non-coding RNA (24 nucleotides) under Arabidopsis thaliana (thale cress). The record is from RNAcentral. RNAcentral also lists the same sequence under 10 other names. Lineage: Eukaryota; Viridiplantae; Streptophyta; Magnoliopsida; Brassicales; Brassicaceae.
GGCGGGAGUAACUAUGACUCUCUU